This 498-nucleotide ribosomal RNA is filed under the name uncultured bacterium. RNAcentral describes it as "partial 16S ribosomal RNA". It matches the Rfam family "Bacterial small subunit ribosomal RNA", at positions 28 to 523 of the family's 1533-position model. The record is from RNAcentral.
GAUGAACGCUGGCGGCGUGCCUAAUACAUGCAAGUCGAACGCUUCACUUCGGUGAAGAGUGGCGAACGGGUGAGUAAUACAUAAGUAACCUGGCAUCUACAGGGGGAUAACUGAUGGAAACGUCAGCUAAGACCGCAUAGGUGUAGAGAUCGCAUGAACUCUAUAUGAAAAGUGCUACGGGACUGGUAGAUGAUGGACUUCUGGCGCAUUAGCUGGUUGGUAGGGUAACAGCCUACCAAGGCGACGAUGCGUAGCCGACCUGAGAGGGUGACCGGCCACACUGGGACUGAGACACGGCCCAGACUCCUACGGGAGGCAGCAGUAAGGAAUUUUCGGCAAUGGGGGAAACCCUGACCGAGCAACGCCGCGUGAAGGAAGAAGUAAUUCGUUAUGUAAACUUCUGUCAUAGAGGAAGAACGGUGGAUAUAGGGAAUGAUAUCCAAGUGACGGUACUCUAUAAGAAAGCCACGGCUAACUACGUGCCAGCCGCCGCGGUAA